CAGCAGCCGCGGUAAUACGGRGGGUGCAAGCGUUGUUCGGAAUUAUUGGGCGUAAAGCGCGUGUAGGCGGUUUGUUAAGUCUGAUGUGAAAGCCCUGGGCUCAACCYRGGAAGUGCAUUGGAAACUGGCGGACUUGAAUACGGGAGAGGGUAGUGGAAUUCCGAGUGUAGGAGUGAAAUCCGUAGAUAUUCGGAGGAACACCGGUGGCGAAGGCGGCUACCUGGACCGAUAUUGACGCUGAGACGCGAAAGCGUGGGUAGCAAACAGGAUUAGAUACCCUGGUAGUCCACGCCGUAAACGAUGAGUACUAGGUGUUGCGGGUAUUGACCCCUGCAGUGCCGCAGCUAACGCAUUAAGUACUCCGCCUGGGAAGUACGGUCGCAAGACUAAAACUCAAAGGAAUUGAC
Molecule: ribosomal RNA, 407 nt
Filed under: uncultured Desulfuromonadales bacterium
Lineage: Bacteria; Pseudomonadati; Thermodesulfobacteriota; Desulfuromonadia; Desulfuromonadales
Description: bacterial SSU rRNA
Rfam family: Bacterial small subunit ribosomal RNA
Source: RNAcentral